This 313-nucleotide long non-coding RNA is filed under the name Elaeis guineensis (African oil palm). Its description in RNAcentral is "long non-coding RNA (EGUI_LNC047314)". The record is from RNAcentral. Lineage: Eukaryota; Viridiplantae; Streptophyta; Magnoliopsida; Arecales; Arecaceae.
UAUCACUGUAUUUCAAUUUAGUAAAGCCUGGACCAGGAUAAUCUAUGAGAUGGAUUUGAAAGGUUGAAAUACAAUGUGGAUAAAGCAAUCUCGCUUGACAGUUAACCUGAGAUCAUCCUAGAGCAUUCAGGGUCAAGAGGAUGAAUUAUGAGGUAACCAUGAGUAUGGGUUCUAAAAUAUUUUUUUGUGAUAAUUCGACAUAUCUGAACAUCAGGAACUAUUGCUAGAUGGUAUCUCGAUUAGUGCAGAAAUUAGUUCCUGUGCUAUCGGCUUAGUGUUUGAACCUAUGGAGUCACGCACACAAGUCAAACAA